GGUUGUAGCUCAGUGGUAAGUGCUCGCCUCGCACAUGUGGGACCCUGGGUUCGAUCCUCAGCACCA
Molecule: transfer RNA, 66 nt
Filed under: Marmota monax (woodchuck)
Lineage: Eukaryota; Metazoa; Chordata; Mammalia; Rodentia; Sciuridae
Description: tRNA.Ala
Source: RNAcentral